This 372-nucleotide ribosomal RNA is filed under the name uncultured organism. RNAcentral's name for it is "bacterial SSU rRNA". It matches the Rfam family "Bacterial small subunit ribosomal RNA", at positions 526 to 896 of the family's 1533-position model. The record is from RNAcentral.
CGUAGGGGGCAAGCGUUGUCCGGAUUUAUUGGGCGUAAGGCGCUCGCAGGCGGUCCGAUGCGUCGUGCGUGAAAGACCCUGGCUCAACUGGGGGGUGUCGUGCGAUACGGUCGGACUGGAGGCCAGUAGGGGGAUGCGGAUUUCCGGGUGUAGUGGUGGAAUGCGUAGAGAUCCGGAGGAACACCAGCGGCGAAGGCGGCAUCCUGGACUGGUCCUGACACUCAUGAGCGAAAGCGUGGGGAGCGAUCCGGAUUAGAUACCCGGGUAGUCCACGCUGUAAACGAUGCGUACUAGGUGUCGGGGGUAUCGACCCCCUCGGUGCCGCAGCUAACGCGAUAAGUACGCCGCCUGGGGACUACGGCCGCAAGGCUA